This 489-nucleotide ribosomal RNA is filed under the name uncultured bacterium. RNAcentral's name for it is "partial 16S ribosomal RNA". It matches the Rfam family "Bacterial small subunit ribosomal RNA", at positions 29 to 506 of the family's 1533-position model. The record is from RNAcentral.
AAUGAACGCUGGCGGCAUGCCUUACACAUGCAAGUCGAACGGCAGCAUGACCUAGCUUGCUAGGUUGAUGGCGAGUGGCGAACGGGUGAGUAAUGCAUCGGAACGUGCCUUUUAGUGGGGGAUAACGUAGCGAAAGUUACGCUAAUACCGCAUAUUCUCUGAGGAGGAAAGCAGGGGACCUUCGGGCCUUGCGCUAGAAGAGCGGCCGAUGUCGGAUUAGCUAGUUGGUGAGGUAAAGGCUCACCAAGGCAACGAUCCGUAGCGGGUCUGAGAGGAUGAUCCGCCACACUGGGACUGAGACACGGCCCAGACUCCUACGGGAGGCAGCAGUGGGGAAUUUUGGACAAUGGGCGCAAGCCUGAUCCAGCCAUGCCGCGUGAGUGAGGAAGGCCUUCGGGUUGUAAAGCUCUUUCGGCUGGGAAGAAAUCGCACCCUCUAAUACAGGGUGUGGAUGACGGUACCAGCAUAAGAAGCACCGGCUAACUACGU